GAUGAAGAACGUAGCGAAAUGCGAUAAGUAAUGCGAAUUGCAGAGUUUUGUGAGUCAUCGAAUCUUUGAACGCACAUUGCGCCCCUUGGUAUUCCAUGGGGCAUGCCUGUUCGAGCGUCAUUUGUACCUUCAAGCUCUGCUUGGUGUUGGGUGUUUGUCUCGCCUCUGCGUGUAGACUCGCCUCAAAACAAUUGGCAGCCGGCGUAUUGAUUUCGGAGCGCAGUACAUCUCGCGCUUUGCACUCAUAACGACGACGUCCAAAAGUACAUUUUUACACUCUUGACCUCGGAUCAGGUAGGGAUACCCGCUGAACUUAAGCAUAUCAAUAAGCGGAGGA
RNAcentral lists this unclassified non-coding RNA (337 nucleotides) under soil metagenome. RNAcentral's name for it is "partial contains 5.8S ribosomal RNA, internal transcribed spacer 2, and large subunit ribosomal RNA". The stretch from base 1 to 120 matches the Rfam family "5.8S ribosomal RNA", at positions 35 to 154 of the family's 154-position model. The record is from RNAcentral.